GACGAACGCUGGCGGCGUGCCUAAUACAUGCAAGUAGGACGCAGUUGCGAACGGGUGAGUAACGCGUAGGUAACUGCCUAUUAGAGGGGGAUAACUAUUGGAAACGAUAGCUAAUACCGCAUACUAGUAGAUGGACCUGCGUUGUAUUAGCUAGUAGGUAGGGUAAUGGCCUAACUAGGCAACGAUACAUAGGCGAACGGGUGGGGUGAUCGGGCAAAAUGGGAACUGGAAAAGGGCCAGAAUCCUAAGGGAGGCAGCAGGAGGGAAUUUUCGGGAAAGGGGGGAACCCUGAACCGAGAAAGCCGCGGGAGUGAAGGAGGUUUUUGGAACUGAAAGCUCUGUUGUUAAGGGAGCGGUACUUAACCAGAAAGGGACGGCUAACUACGUGCCAGCAGCCGCGGUAAUAC
This 407-nucleotide ribosomal RNA is filed under the name uncultured bacterium. Its description in RNAcentral is "partial 16S ribosomal RNA". It matches the Rfam family "Bacterial small subunit ribosomal RNA", at positions 28 to 526 of the family's 1533-position model. The record is from RNAcentral.